GUUGCAUGUGAGUCUCUCAAGUGGAAAUGGAGAAGAAGCACAAAUAAAGACAUCUGUAAUGCACACCGGUGUAUGAAAAGGAUGUUUUGAUCUCAAACAAAAACGUCCAGGAGGACAGAAGCGUGAUCAGUCACCAGCAGAGAAGUGUUUGGUGGACAGCUUUGCGUACGCUGGGUUAUGUGGAGUGUCUUUGGGCCAGCUCUUUCAAGGAUCUGAGCAAAAAAACAUGUUCGAAUGUUCUGACACCUUCCUGUCCAUCUUGCAUGCGGAGCCACUGCUCAGAGCCGGAGCUUUACCCAUCACUCAGGAUCUUGUGUCAUUCUCAGUUAAAGAUGGACAUUAUGAUGCCAGGGCUCGAGUUCUGAUCCGACAUGUCAGCUGUCUGCUGCAUGUGACCCAACAGCAGCUGGAGGAUUCUGAAGAGACUCUCGGAGAGAAAUUGAGAGAGGCAGGAGAGGAGAACUCCUUUAUGGGAUUUUGGGGGGCUUAUCAGCAUGUAAAACACACACUGCUUUUGCUGUAGGAUGAAUCAUUUACAAGAGAUUGUUUCCACAAAGCCCACGUAGAGCCAUCUGCAGAUUCACAAAGAAAAGUCAAUACAGGGGAACAAUCAAUAUCAUUGUGAAAUCAGUGAAAGUGCUGUGAAAAUGUUGACAUGAGGAACAAACCUGAAUCUGUUUGAUGAUUUCUGUCUUUUUUUUUUGAUGUGGACCGUGCACAGCCGUGUAUAUGCAGCCUAGGUCAAGGUUUUUCCUUUCAGUUCAGCGCUUUCAUUUUAGUUUUAGUUUCUAAUAGAAUUCAGUUAACAUUGAACAACAUCUCUGAGCUUUCAUCAGCUCCAUUGAGCAUGCUCUGAAUCAAAUUGACAUUCUCUCAACAGAGAAGAGUCAUCAAGAAGGCAGAAGAAAGAGAGAGGUCGUAAAUUGCGCCGGUUCCUGCUCACCGGACUUGCCACUGUGGGUGGAGGAACAGUAAUUGGUGAGUCUAAAUGCCUUGGGCGUAUGUUUUAAGCUACAUUGGUCUCACCAAGGUGAAUGUCAGUGAAAAGUCAAUAAAACAUGCAUAAAGCCUGUUUGUUUGUUUGUA
Molecule: long non-coding RNA, 1086 nt
Organism: Cyprinus carpio (common carp)
Lineage: Eukaryota; Metazoa; Chordata; Actinopteri; Cypriniformes; Cyprinidae
Source: Ensembl